GACGAACGCUGGCGGCGCGCCUAACACAUGCAAGUCGAACGAGCGAGAGAGAGCUUGCUUUCUCGAGCGAGUGGCGAACGGGUGAGUAACGCGUGAGGAACCUGCCUCAAAGAGGGGGACAACAGUUGGAAACGACUGCUAAUACCGCAUAAGCCCACGACCCGGCAUCGGGUAGAGGGAAAAGGAGCAAUCCGCUUUGAGAUGGCCUCGCGUCCGAUUAGCUAGUUGGUGAGGUAACGGCCCACCAAGGCGACGAUCGGUAGCCGGACUGAGAGGUUGAACGGCCACAUUGGGACUGAGACACGGCCCAGACUCCUACGGGAGGCAGCAGUGGGGAAUAUUGCACAAUGGGGGAAACCCUGAUGCAGCGACGCCGCGUGGAGGAAGAAGGUCUUCGGAUUGUAAAAUCCUGUUGUGGAGGAAGAUAAUGACGGUACUCAACAAGGAAGUGACGGCUAACUACGUG
This 466-nucleotide ribosomal RNA is filed under the name uncultured bacterium. RNAcentral's name for it is "partial 16S ribosomal RNA". It matches the Rfam family "Bacterial small subunit ribosomal RNA", at positions 28 to 507 of the family's 1533-position model. The record is from RNAcentral.